GGAGGUAUGGUCGAGUGGCUUAAGGCAUCGGUUUUCUAAAUAAACACACAAUAAGAUUUUCUAAUGGGUUAGAAUCCCAUUUCCUUCA
This is a non-coding RNA of Picea glauca (white spruce), 88 nucleotides long. Lineage: Eukaryota; Viridiplantae; Streptophyta; Pinopsida; Pinales; Pinaceae. The record is from Rfam.